RNAcentral lists this ribosomal RNA (449 nucleotides) under uncultured bacterium. Its description in RNAcentral is "bacterial SSU rRNA". It matches the Rfam family "Bacterial small subunit ribosomal RNA", at positions 329 to 792 of the family's 1533-position model. The record is from RNAcentral.
AACCAGACUCCUACGGGAGGCAGCAGUGGGGGAUAUUGCACAAUGGGGGAAACCCUGAUGCAGCGACGUCGCGUGAGGGAAGACGGCCUUCGGGUUGUAAACCUCUGUCGCAGGGGACGAAGGAAGUGACGGUACCCUGUGAGGAAGCCCCGGCUAACUACGUGCCAGCAGCCGCGGUAAUACGUAGGGGGCAAGCGUUAUCCGGAUUUACUGGGUGUAAAGGGAGCGUAGACGGCGAUGCAAGCCAGAUGUGAAAGCCCGGGGCUCAACCCCGGGACUGCAUUUGGAACUGUGUGGCUGGAGUGUCGGAGAGGCAGGCGGAAUUCCUAGUGUAGCGGUGAAAUGCGUAGAUAUUAGGAGGAACACCAGUGGCGAAGGCGGCCUGCUGGACGAUGACUGACGUUGAGGCUCGAAAGCGUGGGGAGCAAACAGGAUUAGAUACCCCGGUA